UGAGUGAUGAAGGCCUUCGGGUUGUAAAACUCUUUCGACGGGGACGAUAAUGACGGUACCCGUAGAAGAAGCUCCGGCUAACUUCGUGCCAGCAGCCGCGGUAAUACGAAGGGGGCUAGCGUUGUUCGGAAUUACUGGGCGUAAAGCGCGCGCAGGCGGCUUUUCAAGUCAGUGGUGAAAGCCUGGAGCUCAACUCCAGAACUGCCAUUGAAACUGCUAAGCUUGAGUACGAGAGAGGUGAGUGGAAUUCCCAGUGUAGAGGUGAAAUUCGUAGAUAUUGGGAAGAACACCAGUGGCGAAGGCGGCUCACUGGCUCGUAACUGACGCUCAGGCGCGAUAGCGUGGGGAUCAAACAGGAUUAGAUACCCUGGUAGUCCACGCCGUAAACGA
This 390-nucleotide ribosomal RNA is filed under the name uncultured bacterium. RNAcentral's name for it is "bacterial SSU rRNA". It matches the Rfam family "Bacterial small subunit ribosomal RNA", at positions 402 to 809 of the family's 1533-position model. The record is from RNAcentral.